RNAcentral lists this ribosomal RNA (512 nucleotides) under Ptenopsila sp. KY243. RNAcentral's name for it is "partial 16S rRNA". It matches the Rfam family "Bacterial large subunit ribosomal RNA", at positions 1809 to 2608 of the family's 2925-position model. Lineage: Eukaryota; Metazoa; Arthropoda; Insecta; Psocodea; Dasydemellidae. The record is from RNAcentral.
AAAAACAUGUCUUUAAGGUUUAUUUUAAAGUCUAAUCUGCUCACUGAAUAAUUUAAAGAGCCGCAGUAUUUUGACUGUGCAAAGGUAGCAUAAUCAAUAGUUUCUUAAUUGGGAACUGGAAUGAAAGAUUGGAUGAUAAAUUUACUUUCUUAACUUUAAAAAUUGAAUUUAAAAUUUAAGUUAAAAUUCUUAAAUAAAUUUAAAAGACGAGAAGACCCUAUAGAUUUUUAUUAUCAUAUGGUUACGAAAAAUAAGGUAUCUUUUUGUAUAAUUUAAUUGGGGUGAUUUUGUAAUAUACAUAACUUAAUUUAUUUAAACCAUUAAUAAUUGAAUAUUUUGACCUAAAAUUUUUAAAUAAAAGAUUAAAUUACCUUAGGGAUAACAGCGUUAUAUUAUUUAAGAGUUCAUAUCUAUAAUAAUGUUUGCGACCUCGAUGUUGAAUUAAGAAAUAUACUGGAGUAGAAAUUAGUAUUAAUUAGUCUGUUCGACUAUUAAAUUCUUACGUGAUCUGA